GGGCAUUUUCGUCAUUUUUCCUCAAAAUUUUUAGAACCCAACUAAAAAUGUAAUAGAUGAGUGGAAAACACAUAUUUCAUGAUUUAAAAUAAAAUUUGGGUGUCUAAAACAUUUAUUAAAAAUGAUAUUGCAACUAUUUGAAUAAAAUAAAAAUAUUCAAUAAAAUAUUCUAAUUUCUUGUAAAACAAUAUUUAUAGAAUCAUCGGUAAAUAAUUUUUGUAAUGUAAAAGCUAAAUAAAUUCAUACGUACUAUAAUACAGAUAACCGAGAUAUGAAAUUUAUUGUGCAGUGACUCGUGGGCCCACAAGAAACAAAAGUGCACAAAGGCAGUAAACCUACAGUUUUUGGAGUAGUAAAGCCGAUUAUAAUCCCUGAUGAUAUCUGCUAUCCAAAGGCUACCUCGGGCCGAAAAUGGUUGAAAAAGAGGGUGGUGAGAUUAUAAAAUCCCAGUGAGUAAACAGAUACCAACUAAACCAUCUAAAGUCGAGUAAAUGGAGACAGAUAAAACAAUUUAACAUACUAAAAUUCAUCACCUUUCAACUUGUUUCAACCAAAUAAAAUUAAUUCAUAUAAAUCGAAUAAUUUACAUGGCUUAUGAAUUUCUUAAAACUUGACUCAUGCCAAAAAUUAUUCUCAUACUCAGUUAUCAAGGAUACCUUGGCCGAGGGCUAUCCUAAACCGAAUCCGCCAAGGCUAUUAAAAAGUUAUAUACUCAUGAAUCAUGUCUUUAUUUAGAAAAUAUAGCCGUUCCUUGGCGUUGGCUGAGUUCGCCCUCACGUGAUGGUUUGGCUUGAAGUGAACUCUAAAAGUUAUACCUCGAGAGCUACCAUACUCGCCUCUCCAACCGAGGUAAAAUAUGUUAGGAUUUCGUGUCCAUCUAAUAGGCUAGUCCACAGAACCCAGCCCACUGCAGCAAGCAAUACCCACUAUAUAAUAAAAUUUUUGAUAGCAUGACAGGGUUAAUUUAAUACUACCCAGCUUACAAAUGUAAAAUACAACAAUUCAUACAAUUCACCAAAAACACAACCCAGCCAGUCAUGCCAACACAUUAACAUAAGUCAUCAAUUCAAAUCAUAAAUUUACAAAUCGAUUUCUUUCACUUUCUACACUCCAAUUAUACUUAAAAUACCUCAAUGACUGUGAAUAUGAUUCAAUUUAUCAGUCCGAACCAUAAAUCGCACAUGUCUAUACAUUAGGUAAAAAUUCAGAUUUUCAUGUCAAAAUUUCCCAUUAAAUUUCUAGCCUCACCAAUCAUUAAAUACCACAAAAUAUCAUGAAAUAUUAUCAAUUUCAGCCUCAAUAUCCUCCCUAGAAAAUUAGGCCUCUUAUGGGUAAUGGGAGAAAAUGAAUUUUUUCUUGUUGGCUUUUCUUGCUACACAUCACUAACUAAUUAAAAACACUAGAAUAUCUUAAAAUUUAACCAAAACAUCAUCAAAUUCUCUCUCCUAGGUGUUCGGCCAGCAAGAGGUUCAUCAUGAAAACUUGAUUUCUAAGCAUGGAAAAUGGAAAAGAAAGCAUGGGUAGUGUAAAUCACAAGUCAAAAUCAAGAAAUUUUACCUUUAUUAGCUUAAUCCCUUGAAAUCUCACACUUUUUCUUCAAUUUUCCAACCUAGGGUUUGUGUUCUUUCCUUUCCUCUUCACUUCACGUUUUGGCCGGCCAUAUGGGUGAGAAAAUGGGCUGAUUUGUGCUGAUUUUUAAGCUAAAUAAUAAAUGGGUGAGAAUUUGCCAUGUGUCACCUUACCAUUGGUCCAUUUUUAAUUUCUUAACUAUUAAGCUUUCUCUCUCCAUCAUAUAAAUUCCUUCAAUUAUUCAUGAUAAUUUUGGGUAAAUUCCAUAUGCUGGAUAAGUGUUGGGUGGUGUAAAAUUACAAUUUUGGCCUUGAGAUGGCAAAAUUAUCAUUUUACCCUUAUACUACGAAAAAUACCGAAAUUAAAAUUUUUCACUUCUCAACCUCAAAUUAUACUCCAACAAGUCAAAUAUGAUCAAAAUCUUUCAAAAAAAAUUCCCAUUUUGUCCUCGAGUGGCAAAAUUACCACUUUACCCCUAGAUAGUGAAAUUUUCAGUUUGACUCCAAAUUGAUCGUCGAACUCCAAAUCACCAUUUUAAAGCAUUCCUGAACUAUAAAAUUUUUAAUUUCACCCUAAAAUCUCUAUUUGAUCUAGUUCGAAACUUAAAUCAACUUUGUUGUACCUCUAGGUACAAUAUUGACUUUUGUAAAUUUUUCGGAACUCUCCUUGCAUGUAAACAUGCUAUCCAUCACAUGUAUGUCAUGACAAGUAUUUUAUAAGGUCAGGCUUUACAGCACUACCCCCCUUAAAAUAAAAUUUUGACCUCAAAAUUUCAAUUAUCGGAUUCCAAGAAAAUAUGUGGAUAUUGGUCUCUCAUCUGGUGCUCGACUUCCCACGUCAUCUCUUCCAUUCGAGCAUUCUGUGGCAUCCCCCUCGAGGGCCCACUCCAAGGUAUUGUUACAUCCGGGUCCCCAUCACUUGACUACUCGUAUUCGCCACUCCUAAGGGUGGCACGACAGGCCCUACAAGACCUUCUCGCCAAGCUUCGAACCCGAUACCUUUUUCUCCUUCCGAAAGGAACGCCUUUAACCAUUGGGAUGUUUUUAUUCCUCAACACUCGAUCCUUUCGAUCUAGAAUACACACAGGUUGCAUCUAAGUCAAAUCAUCCUUAAAUCAUCAAUCAUGCAUGUUUACUUAACUAUCCACAAUUUCUCUACCUCGACCUUUUAUUAAACCUUCCCACAUUCAAACAUUUAUUUCACCAUUAAUUAUGGGUCUAAAUGGUCAACCAGCUUCUAUUCCGUUUUACAUACCUCCCUACAAAUUCUAUUCAAGCAUUUCAUAAUACAUAAGGAUCAAACACCUUUUAUUUAUCCAUAUAUAUUUAACAUCACAGAUAAUCUAAAUUUGGUAACCAUUAGUAACCAUAUUCUCAAAAAGAAACUCUCGUAUUUAUUUAUUUUAUGAUCAAGUACUUAUUAAGUAGAUCUCAACUAUUACCACCAUACAUUUAAAUAAAUAAACAUACUUUUGGAUGUAUCCUUAUGGACUUAAUCAAUCCUUAAAAUUCCUAGGUCAUAACCAAUUAGUUAGUUAUACGUCACAUACAAACAUAUUCAACUUGUGAUUCCUCAAAAUUACAUUCAGAUGCUAGAUCUCAUGGCCUCAUUAGUUUAUCAAUCUGGAAAUGAAAAUAAACAUUUAUCUCCCCUCAUGUACACUUUAAAAUCAAAGUAUCAUUUAUUAAGAUCUUUCUGAUAUCAACUUCCUUCAGUCCCUUUUUCCUUUGAAGAUUAAUCCAUAAUUAAUCAUUUUGAGUCAUGGGCUUAUGCCAAUCAAGGCAGAUUUUCACACCUUUGAUUACAUGAAUUCAAUUGCACAUAUUCACCUAUAAGCUAUAAACUUUUCCCCAAAUCUUUAUAUAUCAAAACUGAUAUAUUAUUUAUAUCAUUUCCAAAUCAUAUGCUUGAGUUUCAUCAUGCUAUAUCCUCACAUCACAAUGUCAUUAAUCACAUCUCACUUGCUAAAUGUCACUUAAAAACUUAGACUGAUUCGAAUCAUGCAUGCCUUAAGCAUUUUCAAAUUCUAAUUUUCAUACUACCUUAGGAAAUUUUCAUUAUCAAGCUUCAUUAUCCAAAUCAUCUUCAUUCAUCCUUUGUUAUGUUCUUCCACACUAAUGUGAUAUCAUUCUCCCUAGACCAAUCUGCCGUUUGUACUUAAAACUGUAAGACUUGAAAUAAGGUUCUUCAAAGUACUUUUCAAUGUCAAUACGAAUUUCUCUUCCAACUUACGGCUUCCUCUUUACAGCCACAUAACUUAAUGCUAGCUUCCACAAAAUUCCUAGCAAAACUCUUCUUGAGUAUUUCCUUGGGAAUAUCUAUCUUAGACUUAUGUCUCACAACAUAAGAUCAUUUAACUUGUGACUUAGCCGUUAGGCUCCUCAACAAGUUUUAAAGUCACGCAUCUUAUGCUCAUCAUGUAUAACUUAUAAUUCUUUCUUAAAGGCGUUUAAACAUUCUUGAAACACUUAAUCACUUAUUUGCUCUCUUAUACACCAAGUAUAUCAUUUCCAUAAAGGCAUGCCCAACUACUCAUGCUUCAAUUUAUCUCCGAGGGUUUCUAGCAUGUCACCUAGUUUACUUGUGUUGUUACUAAUCCUUUCCUUUCAACAAGGUCAAGACAAGAUCAAUAUAUUCUCAUAAUAAUAUUCUAUAUCAACUCAUUUGCUAUAUCAUUAUUGAAAUCUUUAUUUUCAUUUUCCUCACUUGGUAUUGACAUCUCUUAUCAGUAUCUCAUACAUUCAUCUAACCUUUCGCUCGCUUCCUCAUUAGUCUUUAACAAGACUUAAUCUCUUGUCUUCCUUAUUUAUUAAGAUUUGACUUCAGUCAUCAUAUUAUUCAUCUUAAUACCUCCCCAAUGCACUUAAAAUUCCAAACAACAAAGCUUAGCAUCAAAACCAAUGACCAUUCUUCAACUCGUGAGUUUCAUCUUCAUGCCACUCUUAAUUUGCUCAUGCUUUCUAGCCAUUAGGGGUUCUUAACGCGACAGCAUUUGAUAGUCAAUAUUGUGGCGUUGCAACUGUUUGAAUUCACUUUAUCCCAGCAACUCUUCUACCUUUAAAGCUACUACCUCAAUUAUUCACAAUCAUGUGGCUUCCCUCUAAGUCUAUACCACAAUUAGCAAGACUAACUUUCUAUCACAAUUAUGUGAUCAGAACAUUGAUUUAACGUAUUUAUUUUGCCACUAGCAUUCCUGUAUCUUUACCAAAACAUUUAGUACGAGUUUGCUUAAGCAAAAAUCUCCAAAUCUAUUCAUAGCUACAUGUAUUUCAGAUUGCACAUCACUUAUCAUCAAUCAAUAAAUCCCACUUGAGAAUACUCUUUCCAUAUUGUAUAGUGACUUCACCAUAUAGUAUCACGACACUAUGUUCCUCCAUUCUACUAUCACGCAUACUCCACAAAAAUUAAUUAAAAGAUUUACGUACCUUAACUAAUGCUAAUUCCAUUUAAUCAUAUCUUAAAUACUCCAAACUUGUAAAUUACAACUCCAAGUGUAUGUCCAUAUGUUGAUAAUCUUUAUAUAUUUCAUGAUUAUGAAAACUACAACUUACAAACUAGCUUUAUAUUAUAUGCACACUAUUAGAACAUUAAUUUCAACAUGUUUAAUUCUCCUUUGGUGGUAUGUUAAGAUCAUUCCUGGAUACAUUUCCAUAAUAACAUUGAUAUACCUUUAUCAUAGCAUUUAGUGCAAAUUUGAUGAAGGAAUUGUCUCCAAAUAACUCUUAAAUACAUAAUUAUCAAAUUAUAUACCACUAAAUGUUAAGAUCUAGACUUUACUCAUCUAUAACCAAUCACAUUUAUUAAGUGAAUAAUUUACUUAGUUAUUACGCCUUGCCUUUGCGAUUACAAGAUCAAAGUUGUCCUAAACUUAGGAUGCAGAAGUUCUCUCUCUUAAAGUAUAUCCAAAUAUCAACAUUUUCUAAAUUCCUUACUCUAAGGAGAUCACCUUCAAGACUGAUCAUUCGUGUCAUAAGCCACACUUUAAACUGAAUAAACUUUUAUAUUGAUCUUUCAAGUAAUUCGUAUAUCAAUCUCAAUUAUAAAACUUCAUAGGGCACUUAGACUAGAUUCGACAUUUCCAAGUCAUUUAACCUCAAGCUGCCAAUUCUACAUGUAGUCCUUUAAUCCCUUGGCUCCCCUUGCUAUGCAUAGCAAAGUUCAAGCUCAUCCUUAGAGUAUAUUUGUUUACUAACUUCUUACUUCAUAACCACACAUCAAUUAUAGUGAUCAUUGAUACUCACUCUCGAGUUAAUUCACGUGCUUAUAUCCAUCAACUAUAAUAGAUCCAAUCAAUUCUUGAAAUCUCAUAGUCCCCAAAUCUUUUUCCAAUUGACAACCAUGAGUUCAAUUAUAAUCCCACCAAAUGAAUAAAUUAUCACGGCCUAUUAGUCUAACUCCAAAUUUCUCCAUCCUUAAUUGGAGGAAUAUAUCAUUUCAUUAAUCUUUCAUUAGGAACAUUCGUUUUAAGAUCUCUCUAACACUGUCUCGUGUCACGGGUGGAAUCUUAAACCCGAACAAUGGCCCUACUUAUGACCUUUGCAUGACAUUAACAAGGAAAUGGAUUACUGGGAACAGGAGUUCAUAUAGCUCCCAUAAGAUCUAUAACAAGAAACAGAACGAGUCUAAACAACUCCAAGUUCUACAUGCAGAUGCACGUAUUCUAUUCAACCUAACUUAACUUAACUCGGGGCCACACUGACACUGUAAAUUUUUAAAGCAACUUUAAGAUAACUUUAAACCCAAAAACUCUGAUCUUUAAAACCAAAAGCUCUGAUACCAACUGAAUUGUUAUGACCCGGUACUCCCUUCGAGCCCGUGACAACCGCCACGACGUCCUGAUCGACAUUCGUUUCCCGAAAUGCCAACCAGAACCCCGCAAGGCUUUAGUACCAUUUUUCUCAUCUCUCCUGUGAGUAAUCAUCGCCAAACCUUGUUUUUAAAGAAUUUUAAGUUUUUUCCCCAUUCAAAACUGUGGAAAAAUAAUUUUCACCUCACAGGGGCGAUUUCAUCAUUUUUUCUCAAAAUUUUUCGAACCCAACUAAAAAUGUAGUAGAUGAAAACACAUAUUUCAUGAUUUAAAAUAAAAUUUGGGUGUCUAAACAUUUAUUAAAAAUGAUAUUGCAACUAUUUGAAUAAAAUAAAAAUAUUCAAUAAAAUAUUCUAAUUUCUUGUAAAACAAUAUUUAUAGAAUCAUCGGUAAAUAAUUUUUAUAAUGUAAAAGCUAAAUAAAUUCAUACGUACUAUAAUAUAGAUAACCGAGAUAUGAAAUUUACUGUACAGUGACUCGUGGGCCCACAAGGAGAAAAAGUGCACAAAGGCAGCAAAUCUACAGUUUUUGGAGUAGUAAAGCCGACUAUAAUCCCUAAUGAUAUAUGCUAUCCACAAGCUACCUCGAGCCUGAAAUGGUUAAAAAGGAAGGUGGUGAGAUUAUAAAAUCCCAGUGAGUAAACAGAUACCAUCUAAACCAUCUAAAAUCGAGUAAAUGGAGACAGAUAAAAUAAUUUGGCAUACUAAAAUUCAUCACCUUUCAACUUGUUUCAAUUAAAUUAAUUCAUAUAAAUAGAACAAUUUACAUGGCUUAUGAAUUUCUUAAAACUUGGCUCAUGCCAAAAAUUAUUCUCAUACUUAGUUAUCAAGGAUACCUUGGCCGAGGACUAUCCCAAACUGAGUCCGCCAAGGCUAUUAAAAAGCUAUAUACUCAUAAAUCAUGUUUUUAUUUAGAAAAUAUAGUUGUUCCUUGGCGUUGGCUGAGUUCGCCCUCACGUGGUGGUUUGCCGUGAAGUGAACUCUAAAAGUUAUACCUCGAGAGUUACCCUACUCGCCUCUCCAACUGAGGUAAAAUAUGUCAGGAUUCUGUGCCCCUCUAAUAGGCUAGUCCACACAACCCAGCCCACUGCAGCAAGCAAUACCCACCAUACAAUAAAAUUUUUGACAGCAUGACAAGGUUAAUUUAAUACUACCCAGCCUGCAAAUAUAAAAUAGAACAAUUCAUACAGUUCACCAAAAACACAACCCAGCCAGUCAUGCCAACACAUUAACAUAAGUCAUCAAUUCAGAUCAUAAAUUUACAACACAUCAGGGGUCUCCAAUUACUCUAUUUUCAAAAUCAUCAUUCAAUUUCAAGACAAUUUAUAAAAUCUUUUCAUUUAAACACAUUUUGUUUAUAAACAUAAAGGUUUACCAUUUAAACCCAUUUUUCAUAAAAUCAUAAAAUCGGAUAAACACCACUUUAGAUAAUUAAGACGAUAGUAAGGUUACUCACUAUACUAGGAGUUAGAUAUACUCCUAUUUUCGAGUCUUCGGGCACAAUCUCUUUACCCUUAUUAGAGGGCUCACCACUUAUACAUCAUACGUGACACGAAUUUCAAUAAAUUGUGUCAAUUUAUCAUAAACUAUUUUGGGCUCUAUAAAUCUAUAUGAAUGCACGAAAUGUGAUACAAAAUGUCCAAAUAGCCGUUUAAAUACGGUAUUCGACCUAAUUCGCACUAUUCUCAAUGUAAUUGGCUAAAACCUCCAAUUUAACUCCAAAUCAAUUUCUUUCACUUUCUACACUCCAAUUGUACUUAAAAUACCUCAAUGACUGUGAAUAUGAUUCAAUUUAUCAGUCAGAACCAUAAAUCGCACAUGUCUAUACAUUAGGUAAAAAUUCAUAUUUUCAUGCCAAAGUUUCCCAUUAAAUUUCUAGCCUCACCAAUCAUUAAAUACCACCAAAAUAUCAUGAAAUAUUAUCAAUUUCAGCCUUAAUAUCCUCCCUAGAAAAUUCGGCCUCUUAUGGGUAAUGGGAGAAAAUGAAUUUUUCUUGUUGGCUUUUCUUGCUACAUAUCACUAACUAACUAAAAACACUAGAAUAUCUUAAAAUCUAACCAAAACAUCAUCAAAUUCUCUCUCCUAGGUGUUCGGGCAGCAAGAGGUUCAUCAUAAAAACUUGAUUUCUAAGCAUGGAAAAUGGAAAAGAAAGCAUGGGUAGUGUAAAUCACAAGUCAAAAUCAAGAAAUUUUACCUUUAUUAGCUUAAUCCCUUGAAAUCCCAUACUUUUUCUUCAAUUUUUCCACCUAAGAUUUGUGUUCUUUCCUUUCCUCUUCACUUCAUGCUUUGGCCGGCCAUAUGGG
RNAcentral lists this long non-coding RNA (8678 nucleotides) under Theobroma cacao (cacao). RNAcentral describes it as "long non-coding RNA (TCAC_LNC004938)". Lineage: Eukaryota; Viridiplantae; Streptophyta; Magnoliopsida; Malvales; Malvaceae. The record is from RNAcentral.